GAAUCAAAAAUGCACGGAAACAAUGCCACAGUUGGCUUUACUGUCAUCUAACAGUUGCUAAUUGCCAGUAUUUCAUUUUAAUGAAAUACCAGUUUCCCAGAAUAAAAUAACGUGACUGGAUUUAGGAAGUUUGCUAUCUGGGCUGCCCUUUCAGGGCUUUGAUAGAUUGUGAAUGUCGAAGAAAGGCUACAUCU
Molecule: small nucleolar RNA, 194 nt
Filed under: Lachancea mirantina
Lineage: Eukaryota; Fungi; Ascomycota; Saccharomycetes; Saccharomycetales; Saccharomycetaceae
Description: Small nucleolar RNA snR34
Rfam family: Small nucleolar RNA snR34
Source: Rfam by way of RNAcentral